UGGCUAUGGCUGGGGUCAUCUCCUUUCCAUCGUUGGGCACUACUGUUGACCGCUAGCUUGUGCCUUCCAUUAUUAAGAUGGGAAGAAGAGAGGAAGAGAGGGAAGAUGGAGGAAAAGCUAGCGAAAAAUUUCUCAAAGGCUAGAUCUAGAUCCUACCUCUAGGAUGCCUACACCAGCUCCAUCUGCUUCUUUGAUCCUUCCAUUGCUCUAUUUUAAGGAAGAA
RNAcentral lists this long non-coding RNA (223 nucleotides) under Elaeis guineensis (African oil palm). RNAcentral describes it as "long non-coding RNA (EGUI_LNC028621)". The record is from RNAcentral. Lineage: Eukaryota; Viridiplantae; Streptophyta; Magnoliopsida; Arecales; Arecaceae.